CUUGGCAGGGCAACCCGCAUCAUUGUUCCAGCAUUGCAACAUUGUUCCACCCUCUUAAUCCAAAAGCAUUCUAGUGUGUUGGCUCCCAGCUCACGCCCUGACCGUGGACUGAUCCGGCCUGCCCUGAGGUUACCUUCCCUGCUCAUCAGGUGUGAGGACCUGGGCAAGUCACUGCACCUCUCUAGGCUUCAUUGUUCUCUCCUGGAAAAUGGGACCUGGCACCAGGACUUAAGCACAGGUUUGCGGUAAGCAUGUGGUGACCUAGUGAAAGGCGCGCUUACCAUCAUCCCUGGUAUGCUAAGCCCCUAGUACGUGUGGCUGUUUGAAUCAUCUGCUUCAUCAUCUUUUAAAGCAAUGUUGCUUCUAAUCCGCAUUUUGGUCCUAAAGGGCCCUUGACUUUCAGGAGGAUUUUUGUUGGCAUGGAUUUGUUUAAAUGAACGUAAUGCAACGACAACAAACCACAGAAGAAUGGGCAGUAUCUUUGUGUCUUACCAAGGACAAUUACAGAUAUUUUCACAUUAUGUUACAAGCAUUUUGAAACAAUGUUUACACUCACCACUACUCUGAAAUUAAGGUGUCAUCUCCAGGCUAUGUAUUUUGAUGAAAACACCACAGCCUCCGCAUUUACUGGGGAAGCUUCUGUUCCUGAUUGUGAACUAUUGUAGCUCUCAGGUAGUGUCACACACACAGGAAAUACUUCUUGGACUGCAUGCUCUGCCAGCACUGACCACCAAGUACUUCCAGGUCAAGCUAGUCCCCUGCCCUCGCAUCGCCAAAACUCCUCCCUUCAGGUGGCCAAGCGGUACUGCUCUGAAUAGCACCAUGAAAACACAGAAAGAUGACAUGUUUGUAAGGAUGAACAUUUGAGAAAUCUCACCAGCAUUCAAAAGGCAGGUGUCUUGGGUUUAUUCAGUUCUCUUUAUCUGGUUGGAACGCCAGUUUGCUCAGGGCAGGACUCUGUGGAACUCAUUCACCCAUGGGCCUUAAGCAUCUGGGACAGUGCUUGGAACAAACAGGAUCCCUGCUUGCUCUUUGGCUGCCUGAUAUUCUGAAUGGACUGAAGUAAAACAAAGUGAGAGAGAAGAAAAAAUACAUUCCACUUUGUAGCUGCUUAUUAUAAGAAACUUCCACCUUGUCCAUGUAUGAGAUGCAUAUACAGAGAUCAUGGAAACAUCACACAGCAAAGUCUUUCUCCAGCAACUUGCUUUCAGAUACAAAGCGACACUCCAAUGUCAGAAAUCAUUUUAGAAAUUGCUUUUCCCUUUACAAAGCUCUGAACUUUGACUAAUUCCUCAAAGACACUUGUGUUUAUAUGGCUGUUUAUUUACUUAUUGUCCCUGGGUUGUUCAAUAGGUCUCUUGACAUCAUUCCUCCUAUCAUUUUGUAUCCUUUGACCAAUGUGCCCCCAAUACUUCCCAGCUCAACCAAGUCCAGCCUCCAGUAACCUCCCAUCUACUCCUUCUUUCUAUGUAUCAACUCUUUUAGGUCCCACGUACAAGUGAGAUCAUGCGGUAUCUGUGUUUCUGUACCUGGCUUAUUUCAUUUAGCAUAAUUAGGAUUUUAUUCUUUUUUUCAGCUGAAUGAUAUGCAAAUGUAUGUAUGUAUACACCCCCCCCACCCCCCCCACACACAGUUUCUUUACUCAUUCAUCUGAUAGAUAUUUAGGUUAAUUUCAUACCUUAACUAUGGUGAACGGUGCUGCAGUGAACAUGAGGUGCAGACUACCUUUCACAUAAUGAUUGUGUUUCCUUUGGAUGUAUUACCCAGCAGUGGGAUUGCUGGAUCAUAUGGUAGUUCUGUUUUUAAAGUUUUUCAGGAACCUCCAUACAGUUUUCCAUAGUGGCUAUACUAAUUUAUAUUACAACUAAGAGUGUACAAGAAAUUCCCUUUCCUCCACAUCUUCUCCAACACUUACCUGUUGCCUUUUUGAUAAUAGUUAUUCUGACAGAUAUGAGAUGAUACCUCAUUAUGGUUUAAGUUGCAUUUCCCUAAUGAUUAAUGAAGUUAAACAUUUUUUCAUCUAGCUUUUGGCCAUUUGUAUGUCUUAUUUUGAGAAGUGUCUAUUCAGAUCUUCUGUUUCAUUUUAAAUUAAGUUACUUGUUUUCUUAAUAUUGAGUCGUUCAGGUUCUGUACAUGUUUUAGUUAUUACCUCCUGGUCAGACAUGUGAUUUACAAAUAUGUUCUCUCUUUCUGUAGGUUGUCUCUUCACUCUGUUGAUCAUUUCCUUGGCUGUGCAGAAGCUUUUAAGUUUGAUGUAAUCUGAUUUGUCUAUUUUUGCUUUUGUUGCCUCUGCUUUUGCGUUCAUAUUCAAAUAAAUUAUUGCCCAGAUCAACAUCAUGUAUAGGGAUACUUACUAUUUCAAUGUAAACUUACCAAAAUCACAAAAAAUGUAUUGUUAGAAAGUAACUAUGCCACAUAAUGUUUCCACACAAGACUGUGCAACUUGUAUAAACUGUAUUACAUGAUGAAAAUCUCACAAUAGUGCUCAAAACCUCAGGUGUCUAUCUCAAAAGAAGACACAGUCAUUAGAUUGCCUUAUAAUUUGGAUUUUCCUUGAUUAAAAUUUCACAUUCACAUUUGUAUUUCCUUACCUCUGUAGAAAUAGCAUUAAAAGUAAUUCCCCAGGCAUCUGUGAUUGCUCUAGGAAUUUUUAUAUAAAACCUAUAUAUAUAUACACACACACACACACACACAUAUACAUAUAUAUGUGUGUGUCUAAAAAUAGUGUAUAUGUGACAUAGAAUUAUAUUUUGGAUAUAUUAAAUUGUCAUAUCUUUAUUCUUCAUUUUGUAGUCUAGGCAACUAAAUAACCACCAAAGUGACAAAAUAAGGGUACCUUUUCAUAACUUAGAAACCAAGGAAGAAUGACACAAUAUGCUAAUAAAAUUUUCUCCCAAUUUCAACUGGAACAAUUAAAUGAUAAAUUCCUAUGUAGAGAAAUGCAAUCAUCUAUAAUUUCUUCAUUUCAGGUCAGUUAAUAUGACCAUUUAAGCCUGUAUUUCCUAUUGCACUUCUCUUUUAGGUUGACAAAGAAAACAAAUCAGAAAUUCAACUAGCAGUUUUCCAAAAUAAAACAGUAAGGCUUAUUACCCUGACCUUAGCAGUUGGUACCCAAUUUAGUAUCUUUAUACUACGAUGGUUUUCUUGUAAAUGUUAUCCUUGGCCACAUCUAAAAUAACAAGUUUUUACUUAACAUUUAUUUUUUUCUAAAGAAAUUCAGUCUCUAGAAGGAAAUAAACCUGGCAGAAAUAGAAUUCCUACUUUUCUCCCUUAUGCUAGGCUCUAGAAAUACUGAGGAAAUCAUCCGCUUUCAGGACUGUUCUUGAAAGUGAUAACUUGCAUGCACUUGAGCCGCAUCUCCCCUUCCCAGCACACCUGAACCCCAGGUCCCACUGUUGAUCUCCCUCUUCAAAGCAGCUCUGUUAUCUUCCUGAAACUGGAGAGGGAGAGGCUUACUCCUACUUUCAAACCAAAAACAGAUUUAGACCCGAAAGGAUUUAAAAAUAACCUAAAAAUAAAGUCCCAAAGCUGGCUUUUCUAUGUUCAAUCACACAACACUCGAAACAAUUGUGUGUUGCUUUGAGUCCCAAAUGCUUUAAUUUUUUUAAAGAAUAUGCAGUUCACUUUCUUAUUCCAGCAAACAUCGCAUUUAUACUAUCAAUAUGUCCAGGGUUUACUAAAACUUCAUAAAUGACUCUCUGAUAUUUGAAAGGGCAAGAUUAGAGUGGCUUCGUAUUUCAAACACAUACGUCAAAGAGUUGCGUAACACAUAUGCACAUAUUAAAGUUAUUACAGAUGUGAAAAUCUGCUUUUUUUUCCUGCCAAAGAAACAUGUACUUCCUUCAUGAAGAAUUUCCUAAACAAAUUUUGCCAGUUUAAUUGCCUAUAGAAAUUUAUUUUUAAAACAUUUUAUUUAAACCAUGUAAGUCCCAAGGUAGUCUGUGAACGUGAACUUUAAAGCUAACAUUUUUGUCACUAGUUCCUUUUUGCUAUGUCAGAAAAGAAAACAAUUCACAGCCAUUUUAUUUUUCCAGUUUUUCUCAAGGUUAGAGACUGUCUCAACCUCAUAGGCUCAGAAGAAUGCCUUUAUUUUCCCAUGAAAAGAUAAUCCUGAAGUAAUAUUUGCAGCAAGAGGCCAUUAGGCAAGUGUUGACCCUUUAUGGCUAGUCCAAUUUCCUCUCUAUGUGAGAUAUUAGUAAUUAAAUUCAGAUUUCUGUGUAUUUAUUUUCUUUCCUCAACUCUGUUCAUGGAUGCCAUUUUUAGGUAUCUCUUGCCACUUGAGCAAUCAAUAAGCAAAAGAGAGAUUUGUAAGAGGCCUUAAAAGGAGAGAAAGAGGAUUUUUCUCUUAGGCCCAGUUAUAGAAUCAGUUGUUAUUUUUUGGUCUGCAAUAAAUUUUUCCCAUAUCUGUAUGGGCAUUCCACCCGCGAGUUUCAGUUCUCUUAUUGCUUUUCUAAAUGUCUUGAGAGGUCACUAGAAAAUUAUUACAGUUCAUUAUUAUCCAGAAACUCCAACUUCUGACAUAAAGUAGCAAUUAUUUUUAACUUAAUCACAGACUAACAUAGUUUUGGAUGUUGGAAGAAAUAAUGCUAAAAUUGUAUAGCUCAAAAAAAAGAAAGAGAGAGAGAGAGAGAGAAAGACAGCCUGAAUAUGUCUUGAGUUUGAGAAUUUUUCAAUCUUGCUUUAUUCUCAGGGAUAAUUUUCAAACCUGAAAUUAAAUAGAUCAGUUGAGACAUGGAAUAAGCUUCUAUGGAGGCUCAUUAUAAAACUCAUGUAGAGUCUAAUCAUUCUUCCUAACACUCAUUUUUCCACCCACUAAAUCAUUAGCUUCAUUAACAGUGAUUAAAACUAAACCUCAAUCUGGCAGAGUUGGAUGGAUUCUCACGUCCUUCUAAUGACUAUAGUCUAAAGCACCCCACUGGGAAAGUGAGUGCUUCCUGGAGCCCGUGGACACAGAGGGAAGAG
This 4962-nucleotide long non-coding RNA is filed under the name Homo sapiens (human). RNAcentral describes it as "HSALNT0132267". Lineage: Eukaryota; Metazoa; Chordata; Mammalia; Primates; Hominidae. The record is from RNAcentral.